Non-coding RNA from Rattus norvegicus (Norway rat), 14642 nucleotides. NCBI's taxonomy places the organism in Eukaryota, Metazoa, Chordata, Mammalia, Rodentia, Muridae. The record is from RefSeq and is a predicted model, not a curated record.
UUGGCCCGGAAACAGGGAAAGGGAAUAACAUUCGAAAUGUAAAUAAGAAAUACUCAAGUUUAUAAAGAAAAAACGGGAAAAAGGGGAGGGGCUUUCAUUUCCAUUUUAAUGUUGACCCAUUAAUAGACAUGUCAAAUGACCUACCACAGGUAAGGUGCACAUAAUUACACAUAAUUUAUGGAAGGUAAAUGACAAAAUUACUCUGCCACAUUAACCAAGCUCUUCAAAGUUUUUUUCUUCUUUGUUCACCUAAAUUUAGGAAUUAAGUUGUCUGUUACAUCAGAAUCUUUACAACUAGAUAUAAACCUAUUUACCAUUCAUAACUGAGUAUAUUAACCCUUCCUAUUGACACAGUAGACAUCUACCACAGAAGAUAAAUCUGAUAAGGUCAAAUGUAAUAUGCAGGUCUCUUCCUCAUUGAAUCAAAUGAAAGCCAAUUCCCCACAUACUUAGAAUAUGGAAGCCAUCUGUUUUGAUCAUUCCAUGGCAUUCAUAAGAGAGUAAGUGAAGCAUCAUGAAGAAAGAAGGAUGUGACUAAUUGUCUGUACCAUUUGGAAUUGCAGCUAAGUGUACACUGUCCAGUAGGUACAGCAUGCGCCUACCUAUGCUCAUGCCAAUGUCAGGCACAUUAGUAUAGAACAAACUUGCCAGCUGAACAUACAAAGGAAAAACGCCAGAUUCUUGAGCAUUCAAAGCUCCCUUGUGUAUAAACUGUUUUGUACAAAUAGUAUAGACUACAGAUUGGGAUUAAAAAAUACCAAAAAUACCACUGAAGUGAUAAAAGAUUGAAUUUCUGCUGUCAUAAAGUAAAAUAAUAAUAAUAAAUUGGCCAUCUUAAGUUUUUCUGCUCACAGGUAGCUAUGUUUUUUGAAUGGCAGUUAGUGCAGUAGGUAUGAGAACCACACAUAUUGCCUUAAUUCUAACCACGAUUCUGUACUUCCUACUUUAUUUUGUUUCUAUCCUUCAGGGUUUUUUUUCCAAUUUAAGGAUAAGGAUAAAUAUAACUGUUUUAUCAAGGCGAUUGUAACUAUUAAGUGAAAUAUAUACAGGUACAUUAGUCAGGGUUCUCUAGAGAAACGGAACCGAUAGAAUAUAAACAGAAUUUACUAAAGUGGCUUACAGAUUAUGGUCCAAGUACUACAACAACUCCUAUCUCCAGCAGUCAUUCAGUUCACAAGGCUGGAUGUCUCAUCUAGUCUUCGGUACAUAGCAGAAUUUCAAAGACAUGGGUUCUAAUGCCAGUGACAAAAUGGAUUUAACCAAGAGUGAAAGGAAGCAGUCAAAGGGAAAGGACUUCUUUCUUCUUUGUUCUUUGUAUAAGCUUCCAGGAAAGGCCUUGGCCCAGAUUAAAGGUGGGUCUUAUAACCUCAAGUGUUAUGGAUUGAAGGUGGAUCUACUUAUAGCAGAUGAUGCAAUUAACUAAAAAUCCAUUGUGUGCCCACUGGCUUAAUUUUUUAGUUAAUUCUAGAUGUGGUCAUGCUGAAAAACAAGAGUAGCCAUUAUAACAGGUAUACACAAAUAUACACAUAGAUUCAAGUAGUAAUUGGAAGAACUAUAUUGUUUGUACUAUUAUUACCAAAAUCUAAAUUUGAAAACACAACCUAUUCUCUCCAAGCCACACUCUCAUUUGAGCUUCAUAUUUUUAAAUAGCUUUAUUAUUUGAAAAUUUCUUGCUUUUUUAUUGAAAAUACAUUCAUCUCAUACUACGCAUUCCAAACACAGUUCCCCUCCCUCCAACCCUCCCUGAUUCCCCUACCCUCUCUCACCAACUCCUACUCCAUCUUCAUUCAGAAAAAAGUAGGCUUCCAAAAGAGGCUAAACAAAUCAACCAUGACGUUGUGUGUGUGUGUGUGUGUGUGUGUGUGUGUGCGCGCGCGCGCGCGCGCGUGCGCGUGCGCGUGCGUGCAUGUGUGGUAGAUAGAUAGAUAGAUAGAAAUAAUAUAGAUAUAUAACUAAUAAGACAAGGCAAAAGCCCUCACACUGAGCCCCAAGACAGGAAAAGGAGUCAAAGACAUUUCUGCUCCCACAUUUAGGAGUCCCCAAAAACCAUCAAGCUAACAACCACAACAUAUACACAGGGGACCUAAUGCAGACUCUUGUCAUCCCCAUACUUGCCACUUAGUUUUUGUGGCUCUUGUGUGUCAUGUGGAGUUGGUUCUCUGGACUGUGUUUUCUUGGCCCUUCAUCUGACUCCUAUAAUCUUUUCCGCACUUCCCAACUCCUGUGUCUUGUGUGAGUGAUAUAGAUAUUCCAUUUAUGACUGGUGCUUCAUGUUUUAUACUCAACUGUUUAAUUUAGGGAGUCACUAAUGUAUAUCACUGACAUAUCAAAUCCAGGAUAUCUCAAAUUAUUGCUGUUUGAAUUCAGCUCAAAACAGGGUCCACAGAUUUGCAACUCUUGUACCACCACCAUUAUCUCCAAGACAGGAUGUUGCAAUCAUCUUAAAUAUUCUCUUUCUGUGUCUCCCACAUACGCCAAUGAGUAAUUUUGAAUGUGUAUAUUUUCCCACACCCUGGUAUCACAUUACUUUGAGAAUUCCUCAUCUACCUUCGGUAACAAGGUGAAAUUCUGAACUCUCAGUGAACUCUUGCCUACACAUAAGCCAUCCAAUACAAACUAGGCACUGUCCCCAUUUUUUUAAAGUAGAUAGUAACAAUGUCUACCCUGUCUACUUUAGAAGUCUACUGCUUUUAAGUCAAAGAUAAAAUUAUUUUCCUGUGCCCAGCUGACCUUGAAUAUUUCAGCCAAUUCCCUGCAGUUCCUUUUCUUUGUCUCUCAUUAUAUAUGAGCCAUUGACCUCUGAGAGCCCCUCCAGACGGUUUGCCUUGUAGGGUUAGCAGUCCAUCUUAAGUUCUUUGACAUCAACCACGACUGUAUCACCCUUGACUUCCUAAGAGUAAGGACCUCCCUCUUUCUGUGGAAGCCUCCAACUGAUCCUGUUCAUCUCAGUUUAUACAUCAUUCCUUGAGCACAACCCACCUGAUAAAUCUCACAUCAAUCUAAAUUACCUCCAUCACUAUUUUCUUCCAUUCCUUAUUAUAAUUAUUAAUUGCGUACAGCCUCUGUGUAGACUUAACCUCAGUUGCUUCAUUUAGAAUAUCAUAUUGCUGAAAAUUUUUUAUAUAACAGUUAUUCAUUCUAGAAGACUUUGCACCCAUACUCUGUUAUCAUCCAGUAAAGAAAUAAGUAUUCUUUGCUCUUCAAUAGCGAUACGCUUUCUAAAACCCCACUGACAAGGAAGAGGAUGUGACUCAUAGCUGUAGCAGAAUAAAGGUUACUCCUAAAAGAAAUGAGAAAAUUGAUCUUGUGCAAAUAAAUGUAAGGGGCAUGUUUCUACACUCAGCUGAUGGAAAAAUAAUUUAUAAAAGCUAAAGCCAAAUGCAGUAAGAGCAUAAAUCCUGUCUGUAAAUAUAAGUAUAGGAGAAGCCAUUUUGUUUCUGUUUGGAUUUUGGUUCAUUUGAAAACAGAAAGAAAACAGCUGUGUAGAUAGGGAGGUGGGGGAUAUCUGAGAGUAGUUGAAGAACGGGAGAGAAAAUACUCAAAAUAAAUUGAACAGUAUUUUCAAAACUAUUUUUUUAAAACUGUAGACAAAACAGAGAAAUCCCCCCAUUUUCUUGCUUUUAAUUUUGAAACUGCUAUCUGAUUUCAUAAAAAGUUCUUCUUCCAUGAAAAUCCAUGUUAUUGAAGUCACUUUAAAAAUAAAACUGUUGUCAGCUUUUUAAAUGUUAUCAAUUAUAAACUAUUCUAUAUUUCAAAAAUUAUGUCCAGAAAACUCAUAAAAAAUAGUGAGAUGGUUUAAAUAAUAUACUUAUUUUAUUGUUGAAUAUAAUAGGAAGACUUUUUGACUAUAGAAAUGUAACGCCUUUAAUUGAAGAAUAACACCUUUUAAAACUCACCUAUUAAUCAAACUUUCCUCAAGUGGAUAGCUCUGUGUGAAGUAAGGAUGUAAUUGGUCUUUCUUUGAACACUAAUUUUCAUGGGAAAUUAGUAUAUACAUAAAAAUAUCCUUAAGCUCAGAAUUCACUCAUAAAGUAUGUGUAGUAUAUUAAUAAUUUAUAUGAAUAUUAAUAUUUUAUACCUGAACCACUGGUGUGGGCUGCAUGCAGCUAAUUGCAUAUAAUAGUUAUCUAUUUUCAAAUAUGAAAUACAAUCUAAAUAAUAGAGUAUUAAAAGCUUGUAAACUAUUCUGUGAUAGGUAGCCAUUUAUCCUCCUAAGAACUCAUUUUUUAUGUAGUCUUUGAUGUCAUAGUGAAUUUGAUGGUAGAAUAGUAAGUUGCUUAUGUCUUUCUCCCUUUUUAUAUAACCUUCUUUCAUUACAAUCCAAUGCUGUAGCCUACAUAAGAUUAAACUCAAUAAAUUAUAUUCCAUCUUAUCACAAUUCAUAAAGGUAAAAUAAAUGAGGAAAGUUAUCACAAAGCAAGUAACUUCCUUAGAAUAACAGUACUAAAUUUUCAACUCAUCUAGAAACAAAAAUAACACAGUAUACUCAGAGAAUUCCUCAUACUUAAAAGCAAGACUGAAUCAAUAUUUAAUUAUAUUUGCUACAUUUUAAAAAAAACUCUUUUUAGCAGAUGUAUCCUUUCUCACUCCUCUACCUACACAGGGUUGCUUAAUGUAACAUAGUAUCCCUAAGGAAGAUCCCAGAAAAAUAUUUAAUGUAUCUUGAAAUAGCACUAAGUCUUAGUCUACUAGUGAUCUCUUCACUUAUUUCUUUAUUCAUUCCUUUACGUGGUCACUAGUUAUUGGUUGUAUGACAAACAAUAUAAUGAAAAAAUAAAUCUGGGGGAUAUAAAUAUUAUGGAGGGGAAUCUUUUUUAAAACCAGUGGAGACAGGAGACACUAUAUAGAUUUUAAUCUAUGUUUACAAACAACACAGCAACUGAUUCAAGAGUAACACUGAAAGGAUACAUUCAAGUUAGACUUUAAAAACAGGGCAACUUUUCCCUAAUCAUGGGAAGAAGACAAAGCAGGGCAGAGAAAGUCAUGCGACAGCACCAAUUUGUUUGUGAGACCUUGAAUGCCAUGCAUGCUUGAUCAUUCUCUGGCAGGAUAAUGGGAUAAUCUACCUCUCUAUUCUCCAGUGUAAAUGUUCAAAUGUUCAGCAAAACCUUGAAGCAGAAACUAGACACAUGCUGCACAAUAGAGGGGCUCCUGCUCAUACAUAUUUGUAGUUAUGUAGUUUACCUUCCAAAAAUGAAAAUAGUCCCAUUCUAAGUACGUGUGGGAUAUACAGAAUAUGUCUGUCAACACUCAAGUUCUACUGAACAGUAUCGUAUUACAGUUUUCUUGGGUUUUUUUUCCUAGAGAGGCAUUUCAAGAAAUGUAUAUGGAACUUCAAAUGCACUUCUUUAAAGUGUGUGAGUAGGGUUGAGUUUUGGUUAAAAUAGUUUUAAAUGCUAUUUCAAGAUACACUAGAAAUCUUUAAGGUGCUUUAGGAAUGAGGCAUGGUUUAAAACAUUGUGCUAUAGAAAAAAAUUUGACUAAAGCAAAUAGUAAAAGCAUAAGGUUUAGUGGCACAAUUUAUUUAAGUUGUGUAAAAAGGGAAAUGUAUUACUGAUUUUGUUUCAUUAUCAUUGAAUUUCAAGGAUGGCCCUGAAUUGCUUUAGCAAUCUCUGAACAUAUACUCCUUUCACUUUCUAAUAUGUCUGUCCAAAUCAUAGAUUCUAUGUUAUAUGCAUUUGUCCUCCUGGUCAUUGAAAGAUCUCAAAACCAGAACCAAGUUUAAAUAGAUUAUAGAUAUAUUCUAUUACUUUUCUUAUAUUUUCCCUAAGUCAACAUCAUGAACUCCUUACUAUAUCAGAUUGCCACUUCUGACAUACUAUGCUAUCCUUCUCUAUUUAAAGUGCACACUUACUGAGUUAGUAUAUUUAUUAUUUUAGUAACAUGAAUAUAUAUCAUGAAGCUGAAGAGUUAGAAACCCAUUUCUAAGUGUGUUUUAUAGUUAUUUUAAAAAUACUGCUAUGUACACAACACACAUACGUGCACAACCUUUUCUUUCUUUCUUUCUUCCUUUCUUUUUCCUUUUAUCCUUCCUUUCUUCCUUUUUCUGCAAGAUGAAAUUACAUAACAUACUAUAUGGUCAUAAUUUCCAAUGUUACAAUUUCCUCACCACUAUUCUAUUUUGUUCAUUCAGUGUUGUAGUUAUAUACAGAAAUAUCAAUGAAAAUUAUCAUGCUCAACUGAAAUAUGAGUUUGUCCCCAUUCUUAAUUAUCUAAUAUAUUUAAUAGAGUUCAGUGAGUCCUACAAAUCAAAAAUCAUUUUAGAUUCUUUUUAAGUAAUGUAAGGCAUUUUUUACAGUCAUUAGAAUUUGUACAAUAAGCCCAUUUAAUGUUUACUUUAAUAUACCUCAAUAUUAAAAGUUUAGUGCAUAUCUUAGCCUGUCCAAACCACAAUAUAAAAAUGCUAUAGGCUGGGUAGCUUGUUUACAACAUAAAAUUAUUUUACUAUUCUAAAGUUGCUAUUUGCGGUGCUUUGGAUAUUCUUGGCCCAGAGUGUAGCACUACUGGGAGGUGUGGCCUUGUUGGAGUACAUUUGUCACUGUGGUGUGGGCUUUUACCCCUCCUUCUAGCUACCUGGAAUACAAUCUGCUCCUGACUGCCGUCGGUUCAAGAUAUAGAACCUCAGCCUUCUCCAGCACCAUGUCUGCAUGGACCGUGUCAUGCUUCCUGCCGUGACGAUAAUGGACUCUUACAAGCACACCUGAAUUAAAUGUUCGCCUUUAUUAGAGUUGCCUCGACCACAGUGUCUCUUCACAGCAGCACAAGCCAAACUAAGCCACUAUUCAAGAUCGAAACAGUCAGUGUUAGUGGAGAUCCCAUUUCCUUAUUUCCAGAAGCAUGUUCUUACCUGCUGGAAGAUACAAACGCAUCUUUUUUCUGUGAAGGCCCCAUCCACAUAACAGGGUCAUCUGCCAAAUGCCUUCACCCCUUAGUACCUUUGCCUUGUGAACUGGCUUUCCGACCAUGGGUUUUUAGGAGCUCAAACAUUCAGAAUAUACCAGUCAGUAAGCUACACUGAUUUUGGUAUGAAUGACUUCAGGUCAGUGGUCCCAGGAAAAACUGGACAUACGGUAGUAAAGCUAUCAGAACACAAAGGACUUGAGCUCAUUAACCAAAAAGCGUGCUCAACUUCUGGAAAAUGUAUUAGUUCAAUUAAAGGAGCAUAGUCACCUCAGAAUUAUGUGUCAGAAAGCAAUGAAAGAGCUGCAUGUGGCCAGCACCCAUGAGACGUAAGAUUCUGGGGGGCUGAGGUAGAAAGCCUGUCUUUCAGGUCUUAUUUGCAAGGUGUAAUAAAGUGAAGCCUUGGGCUGGAGAGAUGGCUCGGUGGUUAAGAGCACUAACUGCUCUUCCAGGGGUCCUGGAACCACAUGGUGGCUCACAACCAUCUAGGAAUAAAAUAAAUAAAUCUUUAAAAAAAUAAAAAAAUAAAGUGAAGCCUUGUAUUUUUACAAACAGAAAUACCUAUAUAUAUAUAUAUAUAUAUAUAUAUAUAUCAUCACAUGUAUACUAUACUAAAUAGAUCCUGGAAUACAUUCACAGUAUAUGUGUUUAUCUUAGCGAUUCUAGAUGAAUAUAUAUAAUGAUCUUUAUUUGAUUCAUAUGGAGCAUCAUAUUUCUGUAAUAUGUUGCUAGAAUAACAAAAUGAGAAAUAUAUUCCAUGUUCUUCCUGCAGAUUUACUUAAAUGAGUGCUAGUUUCCUGAUUGUGCCAUACCCAGGAAGCAGCACAGCUCUUCUCUGCAUUCAGAACCCGCACAUGUACUCAAGAAGACAUGAAAAACAGUACAGUUUCUUCAAAGUACAAAUAGAUGUCUCCAACAGACUAGAUGUUAGCACCAAGGAUUAAAAGCUCACAAAUUCAUCACAUCAACAGAUAAAAUGUUAAUCAUUUAUUUUCUGCACAUUUCAUUGCCUUCGAUCCGCUACACCUGCUAGAGUGUGAAGUGUGAGACUUGCUGUCUUCCCUUGCAAUCUGUAUUUCUGAACUCAGAAUGUAAUUCUGAAUAAGAUCAACUUUGACCUUAUUUAAAGAACACACACUCAUUGAAUGCUGAUGCUACACUCUAAUUUUAAGCUUUAUGAUGCCUGAGAUCACAUAGUAAAUUAGUAGCAAAACCAGUGUUAAGAACUAGGUUCACUACUUCUUCAACAGUUUUCUUAAGACCUCAUUUAAAUCACACAAGAUAAAUUAAGUUCAAAUCUGCACAUAAGGAGAGCCUAAAAUAGAUCACGUGUUUUUCUGUGAAUUUGCCAAAGUGAGUUUAACCAUUUUUAUGGAUUUUGCCUAUAGUUGGGCCUGAAACCAGAUUUUUGCUUUACAGAUCAGAUUAUAUCUUAGCCAGAUUAAAAAAUAUCUCAGGAACCCUGGCAGGGUGAGCUAAUCUUGGGACCAUCUGUUUUUUGGAUUGCUCUUGGUUUUUUUUUUCCAAAGGAAUUCUGCCAACACUUUUCGUGUCACUGGCUCCUCUCUGAGCGACUGAAUUAUUCAGUGUUGGAGAAAACUUGUUCUCAGCACCAGGUUUUAAAUUUUACAGUAAUUGAUUGAGAGUAGACAUCGAGUCAGAGAUGAUUCACUCUGCAUAGCGAUUCUCACUUUCGUAUAAUAUUUAAGAAUGCUCAUAUGCUUGCAACUUUAACAGCUUCGAAAAAACCCACCUAGAAUGAUGGGAAGAGACAAUAACAGAUUCUUGGUGUCUGAAUUAAAACUAGAAAUUGCCUACAAAUUCCUCUUAGGGAUCUCUUGUUGGUGAUUAUCUAACUUGUCAAAAAGUAUCAAUUCCAUGUAAGCGUGAGUCUAAAAAGGAGCCCCCCCCCCCAGAUCCUCCAGAUCCUCUUACAGCCCUGAAACACUGUAGCAUACCUUUCUGUAUAAUGGCGGCGGCUAGGAGAGUUCUAAAAUCUUGAAGAGAAUGGUGAUGUGCUCUUUGAGUGCUAAACUCAUGACAGCUCGAUGCCUCACAUACUAGCUUUUUACUACUUUAUCUAUUUUAUUGGUAAAAAUAAAAUAUAACUCCAUUGUGUUUCCCGUUCCCCCUCGCUGUCAGCCCCCCAAUCCUUCCUACAUAACCCUCUUUUACCCUCUAUCAGCUUCAUGGCAUUUUUUCUUUAAUUAUUGAUAUGUAUAUAUAGACAUGCAUACAGACAGACCCUUAAAUAUGUAAAUACAAUUUCCUCAGUCCAUAUCCAAGAAUGUUACUAGUAUGUGUAUGAUGUCAGGACUGACAAUUAGUUAUUGGAUAGCUAAUUGGUGUGUUAUUUCCUGGGGAAAACUAAUUUUUCCACCUACAAUAUUACUUAGUUGUCUGUAGUUCUUCGUCCAUGAAUGAGGCAGAUUUCCCUUCCAUGUUAGCGUGUCUAUUGAUGUCGUCUUUGUUCAUGACUUGCUUAAGAAACAAAUUAUUAAAAUGUUAAUUAGAACUCAUGGAUAUACCUUCACCGAUAUUUCUAACAGAUGCAAUUCUACAGCAAACUUCCUGUUCCUCUGUUUCUAAUAAUGUUUCUGCCUCCUGUGCCAUGGUGAUCUCUAAGCAUUAAGUGUAGGAGUUAUGUUGUAAAUGUCUCUAAUGGAACUAGGCAACACAGCCUCUCCUUCUCUCCACUUUGAUCUGCUAUGGCUUUCGGUAAUAGUCUGUUGUAAAAUGAAGUUGCAUUGAUAAAGUAUGAGAACUAUACUUGCUUCUGGAUAACGAUUGGGAAUGUAGAUAAGAAUUGUGCUCAUUUAGUAAAGAGGUAGUUUAAGUUCUCUUCCAAUAUCCAUCAUUUUCUAGCCCCAGACAUUUGGCUAGGUUUCCAUGACAAGGCAUAGUUUUCCUCUUGUGGUGUUAGCCUUGAGUCCAAUUAGGGAAGUAUUAUGAUGUAUGCUGUGAUGUAUGCGUGUCACUAUUGCACUGAUUAAUGCUGUAGUCUGUAGGCACAGUGGGUGGGUAGGACUUUUUGUUACCUCUCUCCCUUAGAAAUUGUAUGACAGUUCAUACUAGCUCUUAAAUCUGCUCAUGUUUCAUCCAUAUCAAGUCAUAUGGUUAUGUAAGGCUAAAAACAAGGAUGAAGAGUCAAAUCUUAUCAAAUACUUGGAAAGUGAGGCAAACAGAAGAGAUUUUAUAAGUGUCAUGUUUGGACAAGAACAGAUGACUAUAUUGAAGAAAGAUCUGAAGAAAAUAUGUGGCCAAAUAAACAGUAGGGGAAAAAUCUCACAGAAUAAUUCAGAAAACAGUAGCUGAGUUCAUGUAGGUAAAAAGAUAAGUUGGCAUUGACAUGAAUAAACACAACUAUAUCCACAUUUGUAGAAGACCAAAUAGUGUUCUAUUGGGCGGCUUGCUAUAGCUAAAAUUUGCAUUAUGUAUACAAAACACUCAUGUGAAAUAAAUCAUCAAAUAGUUUAACAGCCUUAUACAAAGACCACUUAAUCAUUCUGUUCCUUGUGUUCAUCAAUGCAGUAACGGAUAUAGGGUACUUAAAUUAUCACAUUCUGCUAGUCUUUAUUUUUGAAGACUUUAUGUAGUUCUUAUUCUAAAUGAUGCUUAAUCAGACUUGGGAAGGUGAAAAGUAUCUAAAAUCUACUAAUAUGGAAUUCUAACAUUUUAUUUAUACACACACACAUACACACACAUACACAGUCUGAUAGUGAAUCUACAAUCUAAAAUUCAUUUAAAGAAUUCUCAUAUAAAUAAAUAAAAUAUUAAAAAUUAAGGAGGGGUCUUGAGAGAGAGAGAUAGUUCAGUGGUUAAUAGCAUCCACUGCUUUUGCAGAGGACCUGAGGUCAGUUUCCAAUACACGUAUCAGAUAUAAUAGCAAAACAUGAAACUCCAGCUCCAGGUGAUUUGGCGGCCUCCUAUGGACUCCUUAGAUACCUUCAUGUACACAAUAUCCAUAAUGGCAUGAAAUAUAUGCAUACCUACACAUUAAUCAAAAUAAAUACAUCUUUUAAAACAAACAGAAAUGAGCCCAUGUAUUUUUAAAAGGGGAAGUAACCUGUCCACCAAUUAAAGAUGAAGCAUUUAGCACAUAGUUUCCCCAGAGUGACCAUUUCAAAAAGGGAGAUGGCACUGAAUGGAGCUAAAUGUCAAACAACAGCAACAAGUUCUUUAAAAUUUUCUUGUCAAGGUACAUGGGUCUUUAUUAAAUUGUUGCGUCACUAAUCUAAUGGUACUUAAAUUAGAGCCCUGAAAACAGACAUCUCUGUAUGACUAUAUUCUAGUCUCCAUGACUAACUCUGAUCGUUCCCACCACUCAUGUAAAGACAUUUCAGAAGGCAGUGUGAGCAAAUUAAAAUUAGGAAAUCUCACAACAGAUUAGAAAAUUAGACAGUCAUUGGGCAAGAUAAAUAUUAUGAAUUCUUAUAACAAUAAAACUAUUACAAGUUAAACAGUAUAAAUAAUAUUUUAAUAAAACUUCAAAAAUUUACUCCUUGAAAACUUUAUAGGCAUAUAAAUGUAUCAUGAUCACAUCCACCUCUCAUUCCUUACCUUCAACUUCCCCCAGGACCUCCCAUUCCAUAUCCUUGUCAAUUGCUGCUUCUUUAUUUCCUUCUUUCUUUUUCCUUCUUUCUUUCUUUCUUUCUUUCUUCUUCUUCUUCCUCGUUCUCCUCCUCCUUCUUCCUUCUUCUUCUUCUACUACUACUACAUCUCUUCCUCCUCCUUUCUCCUACUCUUCCUCUUCCCUUUCUCCCUCUUCCUCUUUCUCUUCUUUUUCUUCACUCCUCCUCUUCCUCCUCCACCUCUUUCUAUUUGACUAAACCCAAUUACUGCUACCCAUAUGCCUGCUCCUGAGUGUGAUGUCAUCCCACUGAGAUGUGAGGAACCUAUUAGUGGUACUGUGAAGUGUUAUCCUCUAGACAUGACAUGGCUGUUGUACACACAUAAAGUUCCAGCAGUUUUAGUUACAUUCACAAGAUCCUCACAAGAAUAACCAAGUAAAAACCUCACCAUUCCAAUUGUCUACUGCCCACUAUCUGACAUAAAAUGGUUCUCUUUCCUUUAUAAGUGUUUUUGUAAAAGUAAACAUUGUACAAAAUAAAGUAUCAUCAAUAUAAUACCUUCAAGACAUGUGGAUAAAUAGAGAUUAGAGUUCCCUAAGGUGUUUUCUCUCUUCGAGUUCUAUGUGAGGAAAGUUUAAUUGAUAGUCUUAGCACUGUUAGCAUUGUUUUACAUGUGCUUCCUCUGGCAGGUUCUGUGAUUUUUCACAGGAAGCCUAUGAAGUAGAAGUCAUCACAUCUUAUACAGAGUGAAACAUGAGUUUAUGUAGAGUUGUGUAACUCACUAGAUGAGCACAUUUGGAAACUUCUCAAGUGAGAGUCAAGCUGGCCCUCAAAUCAGUACUUUGUCCAUUUCUGCAAGAGGAAUAACACAGGGCCCUGGCUCUAGGUAAUGACUCCACUUAAAAUUAAAAGGAUCCAGUGUCUUAUUAGACUUUCCAGUGGUUAAAAGUGAAUGGAAUUUUUCAAAAACCUUCAGCAAAUAUAAAAUGUUACUACAGUAUCCAACAACUUUCUCUAUCAAUAAAAAGGAUAAAAAAAAAUAAAUUUCAAUGUGACUUGCAAUGUGUAGCCUUAGUUUACUCAAACCCAGCCUUCUUAAUUAUUGAAACAUUACAUGGCAUUAUUUACAGAGCAUGAGAGUCUGCAGGUUUGAAACAGAAUAUUCCUUAAGAAAAGAGGGCAUUCUCACUAACCCCAGGGUAAACAAAGAGGGAUAGAGGCAGGCUCCUGGCAACAAAUUAUGAAAGUUAAAUCUACAAGUUAAGAUUGCAGAGAAACUUUAAAACAAACUUCCCUUCUUUGCCAUUCUUAGUUUCUUAGUCCUUUACCAUUUUUUUUGGUCUUUCAUGGACAGCCAAAAUUUAGAAAAUGCACCAAUCCCAUAGUUACAAUGACUAGAAGGAACCCAUUCCCAGGCAAGUGAGCCCUGUGUCUCCUUCAUGUCUGGAUUAUACUGGAGGGAUGCUUAACACAGCCCUGCAUUGGUAACAAGCCCCUGCACUCCCCAGAGUGGAUCCCUUUUCCUACCUUAUCCUAAACCUGACAAUCCUUAGGGAGUUCACAUCCUUCAGCUUCUCCCCUUUCUCCAUGGCUGUUCACUAGCAAUCAAGAACAUUGCUUAGCAACAAAACCAAUCUGCAUGCCCUUACUCGUUCAGGACGUCCUUACUCCCACCGAGUACACAUUCACAAUCCUGUGUUUGCCAUGUGUCAGGAGGAUGCAGAGACCUGGACAGAUUCUAGAUACACAAUAGUUCUUCCCACUCAACUUGCAGAUUCUCCAGUCAUGUGGACAUCUUUUCCAUGUCCAGGCUACAUGUUUCAUGGAAGCCAGAUAUUUCUGGAAUAAUUAAAUGCCAUAAAAUAAAAAUAUUUUUACCAAUUAAAUUUUAAAAUCCUGGAGCUGAAAAUGUGGCUCAGGACUUAAAAUCACUUUCUAAUGAUCAUACGGAGGACCCAGGUUCAGUUCCAAAAAUCCACAGGAGAUAACUAACAACCACUUGUAACUCCAGCUCCAGGGAGCCAAUGUGCUCUUCUGGCUUCCACAGACAUCUAAACACACACACACACACACACACACACACACACACACACACACACACACGGGGAGAUAGAUAUGUAUGAAUGGAUAGAUAGUGGAUAGAUAGAUAGAUAGAUAGAUAGAUAGAUAGAUAGAUAGAUAGAUGCAUACAUACAUAGGUAGAUAUAUAGAUAGAUAAAAAAAGAAAGAAAGAGAGGAAGGAAGAAAGAAAGGAAGAAAGAGAGAAAGAAAAUACAGAAAAGAUAGGCAGAUGGAUGACAGAGAAAUGUGAAAAUAGAUAAGAAGUACUAGCUCUGUAUUUCAUUGCUCAAAAGUAAACAAGUUAACAUUUUAUUGUCAGGAUCAAUACUACAUAUGAGGGAACUCUAGAUAUCAAAGAAUCAGAAAUUUCCUUGCACCUCCCUUUGAGGAAAGCUCAUCUCAUGUCAAAAUAUGAUAUACACAGACUGCUAAUGGCUCAGCUUAUCCUUUUCAGUUUUAUAACAGGGUAGAAGUGAUAUAUAUCUACUGGAAAUAGUUCUUCAAAUGUUGAACUUUGACCUUUUCCUUUGACCAUGAUGAGCUCUGCCCAUGUUAGACGGGAGAGUCCACAGUUUGCUGUCAGUCAUGAAACCAUAGAGAAAACCAUCAACAUUCUUUAUCAGAAUAUACUGCUAAGCUCCAAAUAGUUAUGUGGAUAAAUACAUUUUCUGCGAAAAACAAUGUGUUCGUCUUGUGUUUUUCAGUUCGCAAUCUUUUUUCAGUUCACAACAUUAUUGUAAGUAGAAGAAUAUUUGCAUAUACUCGUGGGUGAAUUGCUAUACCAGUGACAAACUUCAGUUCAUACUCACUGGCAUCAUCAAUACUAACAAGGACAAGAACCUUUGGGUACUGGGCCAGUGUCAUUUCAAAGCUGACUAGGGCAGAAGUACUGGGGCCACACACUGCCUUUCUAUUAUAAUAAUGCAUGAUAGAAUACAUGCAGGGACAAAUCAGGAGUGAUGUUCUGUGAGUUUAUACAGAAUAGAAAUAUCUAUGUAGCACAGGGAAAUAAAAGGGAGUCUAGGAGUGGGAAUUCAAAAGGGAGAUUGCCUCAAAGCAAUGCUAUAUAUACACACCAAGUGAGAGAGGGUGGAAAGAAAGAAGGAGGAA